GAUGAACGCUGGCGGCGUGCCUAAUACAUGCAAGUCGAGCGAACAGACGAGGAGCUUGCUCCUCUGACGUUAGCGGCGGACGGGUGAGUAACACGUGGAUAACCUACCUAUAAGACUGGGAUAACUUCGGGAAACCGGAGCUAAUACCGGAUAAUAUAUUGAACCGCAUGGUUCAUUAGUGAAAGACGGUUUUGCUGUCACUUAUAGAUGGAUCCGCGCCGCAUUAGUUAGUUGGUAAGGUAACGGCUUACCAAGGCAACGAUGCGUAGCCGACCUGAGAGGGUGAUCGGCCACACUGGAACUGAGACACGGUCCAGACUCCUACGGGAGGCAGCAGUAGGGAAUCUUCCGCAAUGGGCGAAAGCCUGACGGAGCAACGCCGCGUGAGUGAUGAAGGUCUUCGGAUCGUAAAACUCUGUUAUUAGGGAAGAACAAAUGUGUAAGUAACUAUGCACGUCUUGACGGUACCUAAUCAGAAAGCCACGGCUAACUACGUG
This 497-nucleotide ribosomal RNA is filed under the name uncultured bacterium. RNAcentral describes it as "partial 16S ribosomal RNA". It matches the Rfam family "Bacterial small subunit ribosomal RNA", at positions 28 to 507 of the family's 1533-position model. The record is from RNAcentral.